UCGCGAAAACUUCACAAUGGGGGCAACCCCGAUGAGGGAAUUCCUAGUGCUAGCACAUUUGUGUUAGCUUUUCUUUAGCUUAGAAAACUAGAGGAAUAAGGGCUGGGUAAGACGGGUGCCAGCCGCCGCGGUAAUACCUGCAGCCCAAGUGGUGGUCGAUUUUAUUGAGUCUAAAACGUUCGUAGCCGGUUCGGUAAAUCUUUGGGUAAAUCGGGGGGCUUAACCUUCCGACUUCCGAGGAGACUGCCGAACUUGGGACCGGGAGAGGCUAGAGGUACUUCUGGGGUAGGGGUAAAAUCCUGUAAUCCUAGAAGGACCACCGGUGGCGAAGGCGUCUAGCUAGAACGGAUCCGACGGUGAGGGACGAAGCCCUGGGUCGCAAACGGGAUUAGAUACCCCGGUAGUCCAGGGUGUAAACGCUGCAGACUUGGUGUUGGAGGCCCUUUGGGGGCAUUCAGUGCCGGAGAGAAGUUGUUAAGUCUGCUACUUGGGGAGUACGUCCGCAAGGAUGAAACUUAAGGGAAUUGGCGGGGGAGCACCGCAACGGGAGGAGCGUGCGGUUUAAUUGGAUUCAACACCGUAAAACUCACCAGGGAAGACUGUUACAUGAAGGCCGGGCUAAAGACUCUGCCAGAUUUUCA
This 641-nucleotide ribosomal RNA is filed under the name uncultured euryarchaeote. RNAcentral describes it as "bacterial SSU rRNA". It matches the Rfam family "Archaeal small subunit ribosomal RNA", at positions 339 to 981 of the family's 1478-position model. Lineage: Archaea; Methanobacteriati; Methanobacteriota. The record is from RNAcentral.